RNAcentral lists this ribosomal RNA (528 nucleotides) under Cryptosporidium bovis. RNAcentral describes it as "SSU rRNA". It matches the Rfam family "Eukaryotic small subunit ribosomal RNA", at positions 161 to 712 of the family's 1831-position model. Lineage: Eukaryota; Apicomplexa; Conoidasida; Eucoccidiorida; Cryptosporidiidae. The record is from RNAcentral.
GAGCUAAUACAUGCGAAAAAACCCGACUUCUCGGAAGGGUUGUAUUUAUUAGAUAAAGAACCAAUAUUUUUGGUGACUCAUAAUAACUUUACGGAUCACAUUAUGUGACAUAUCAUUCAAGUUUCUGACCUAUCAGCUUUAGACGGUAGGGUAUUGGCCUACCGUGGCUAUGACGGGUAACGGGGAAUUAGGGUUCGAUUCCGGAGAGGGAGCCUGAGAAACGGCUACCACAUCUAAGGAAGGCAGCAGGCGCGCAAAUUACCCAAUCCUAAUACAGGGAGGUAGUGACAAGAAAUAACAAUACAGAACCUUACGGUUUUGUAAUUGGAAUGAGUUAAGUAUAAACCCCUUAACAAGUAUCAAUUGGAGGGCAAGUCUGGUGCCAGCAGCCGCGGUAAUUCCAGCUCCAAUAGCGUAUAUUAAAGUUGUUGCAGUUAAAAAGCUCGUAGUUAAUCUUCUGUUAAUUUUUAUAUAUAAUAUCACGAUAUUUAUAUAAUAUUAACAUAAUUCAUAUUACUUUUUAGUAUA